GAUGAACGCUGGCGGCGUGCUUAACACAUGCAAGUCGAACGAUGAAGCCCAGCUUGCUGGGUGGAUUAGUUGCGAACGGGUGAGUAACACGUGAGUAACCUGCCCUUUACUCUGGGAUAAGCCUGGGAAACUGGGUCUAAUACUGGAUAUGACUUCUCAUCGCAUGGUGGGGGGUGGAAAGAUUUAUUGGUCUUGGAUGGACUCGCGGCCUAUCAGCUUGUUGGUGAGGUAUUGGCUCACCAAGGCGACGACGGGUAGCCGGCCUGAGAGGGUGACCGGCCACACUGGGACUGAGACACGGCCCAGACUCCUACGGGAGGCAGCAGUGGGGAAUAUUGCACAAUGGGCGCAAGCCUGAUGCAGCGACGCCGCGUGAGGGAUGACGGCCUUCGGGUUGUAAACCUCUUUCAGUAGGGAAGAAGCGAGAGUGACGGUACCUGCAGAAGAAGCGCCGGCUAACUACGUG
This 466-nucleotide ribosomal RNA is filed under the name uncultured bacterium. RNAcentral's name for it is "partial 16S ribosomal RNA". It matches the Rfam family "Bacterial small subunit ribosomal RNA", at positions 28 to 507 of the family's 1533-position model. The record is from RNAcentral.